Molecule: ribosomal RNA, 253 nt
Filed under: uncultured bacterium
Lineage: Bacteria
Description: partial 16S ribosomal RNA
Rfam family: Bacterial small subunit ribosomal RNA
Source: RNAcentral
UACAGAGGGGGCAAGCGUUAUUCGGAAUUAUUGGGCGUAAAGGGCGCGUAGACGGCCAGGCAAGUGGAAGGUGAAAUCCCUCGGCUUAACCGAGGAACUGCCCUCCAAACUGCUUGGCUUGAGACCGGGAGAGGUGAGUGGAAUUCCCAGUGUAGCGGUGAAAUGCGUAGAUAUUGGGAGGAACACCAGUGGCGAAGGCGGCUCACUGGACCGGUACUGACGCUGAGGUGCGAAAGCGUGGGGAGCAAACAGG